RNAcentral lists this ribosomal RNA (253 nucleotides) under uncultured bacterium. Its description in RNAcentral is "partial 16S ribosomal RNA". It matches the Rfam family "Bacterial small subunit ribosomal RNA", at positions 524 to 776 of the family's 1533-position model. The record is from RNAcentral.
UACGGGGGGGGCAAGCGUUGUUCGGAAUUACUGGGCGUAAAGGGCUCGUAGGCGGCCAACUAAGUCGGAUGUGAAAUCCCCAGGCUCAACUUGGGAACUGCAUCCGAUACUGGAUGGCUUGAAUUCGGGAGAGGGAUGCAGAAUUCCAGGUGUAGCGGUGAAAUGCGUAGAUAUCUGGAGGAACACCGGUGGCGAAGGCGGCAUCCUGGACCGGUACUGACGCUGAGGCGCGAAAGCCAGGGGAGCAAACGGG